AAACCCAAAGGAAAUUGAGUACUUGAAAGAGAAAUAGAGUUUCAGAUCACUGAAAUGAGUAUGUGAGUAUAUAGCAUGUGCAUAAAUAUGUUCCCAUAUAGCAUGUGUAAAGAUGUUCCCAGAAUAUGUAAUUGCAGUAUUAUUGUCGCUUCCCUUAUAGGAACAUGUUAGUAACGGCCCAAAGAUUGCUUCUGUCUGGAUACACUAGGGCUAUCACCUCCCCAUUAUACAGUGAACAUGGAGGUUUACCAGCUUCUCAAGAUUUCCUUAGCAUGACAUUGUAUGUCUGUGUGUGUGUGUGUGUCGGGGGUGUGUGUAAAGCUACAGAGAAGCAAAGAAAGUCUGAGUGAAUUAGAAUGCCAUUAUAUGUAGCAUUUUAUCUUCCACAGUUUUUGACAAUACAUAAAUCCUAUUUAUAGAAGCAAGCUUGUGUAUUAAUGAUUGCAUGUCAAUAUUAAUGAUUAGAGCAACAAAACAAUGCCUGUGGGUGGAGACUGAGAGACUGAGAUGAAAUCAAAGCGGGCACCAUGGAAACAUUUCAGAAGGAAGAGAGCUUCAUUAUGGUAUUUCACUGGGGUGCUUAUCUUAUUUGGCACUUCUAAUUAAUGCACUAAGAGAGAAGGGUAAUUUCUUUUAUUCAGAUUGCUGAAUCCUUGUAAACAACAAUGCCAUGUGAACCAUUAUUUUAAAAGAUGGAAAAGCAUUCAAAAUUCAGAGCUUUUGUUUCCUAACUUAAAUGUACCACUUUGCCUAAUGGCUUCCUUAUCUUUAUCUACUUUGAUAUUUAUUUUUGACAUCUUAUAUCCUUCAUCAGAAAUCCAAAAUUUUUAAAUGUGUUUGUUAGCCACUUGUAUGUCCUCUUUUGAGAAGUGUCUGUUCAAUCGUACUCCAAACCCCAGCAUCACACACUCUACCUUUGUAACAAACCUGCACGUAUGCCUCUGGAAUCUAAAAUAAAAGAAUAUCAUUAUUCUUAAUGUUACUACUGUGUUAUCAACACAUUAAGAUCAGGAAAUUCCUUCAAGUUCAUGCGCUUAUAGAGGCCAUUCUCUAGAAAAUACAGGGUGUCAUUAAAAGGCUUUUUUUUAACAACAGAUUUGUGCAAAUAUAACAAAAAGAGAUCAAGUAAAGUUUAGAAAGAAUGGUAAAAUGUAAAAGGAGAUGGGGCCGGGUGUGGUGGCUCGUGGCUGUAAUUCCAGCACUUUGGGAGGCUGAGGUGGGCAGAUGAUUUGAAACUAGGAGUUCAAGACCAGCCCGGUCAACAUGGUGAAACCUCGUCUCUACUAAAAACACAAAAGUUAGCCGGGCCUGGUGGUGCAUGCCUGUGGUCGCAGCUACUCAAGACGCGCAGGCAGGAGCAUUGCUUGAACUUGGGAGGCAGAGGUACAAUGAGCAGAGAUUGUGCCACUACACUCCAGCCUGGGUGACAGAGCAAGACUCUGCCUCAACAAAAAAAAAAGAAAAA
This 1465-nucleotide long non-coding RNA is filed under the name Macaca fascicularis (crab-eating macaque). Its description in RNAcentral is "lncRNA (ENSMFAG00000049734.1)". The record is from RNAcentral. Lineage: Eukaryota; Metazoa; Chordata; Mammalia; Primates; Cercopithecidae.